UUUCCGUAGGUGAACCUGCGGAAGGAUCAUUAAAAAAUGAGACCUCGAUUUGAAGGUCUAUUAAUGAUCCUACCCUUUGUGAAUUUGUUUGUUUUAUUAUGUGUCUUUCCCUGGUUCUGAUGGAGCUUGUUUAAAGCAAAUCAAUCCAGGGGAAUGGCAAAACUUUUUUUUAAAAUUAAACUUUUUGUAUUCAUUUGCCUAAAAUUAUUUUUAUAAUAUAAAACAACUUUUGACAAUGGAUCUCUUGGUUCUCGCAACGAUGAAGAACGCAGCAAAAUGCGAUAAGUAGUGUGAAUUGCAGAAUACGUGAAUCAUCGAAUCUUCGAACGCAUAUUGCACUUUUUUAGUUUACUAAAAAAGUAUGUCUGUUUGAGUAUCAGUAAAAUAUUCUCAUAAAAACUUUUUGUUUUUAUGGUUAUGAGUGUUUUACAACGAUACAAGUUGUUUCACUUUAAAUUCUUUGUCUUUUAAAAAUCAUUAAAACUGAUUUUUUUUAAAAAUUGGAUAAAAUUUUCCCGUAAAAAGGAAUAACCUAAACAAUUUAAAAAUUAAAUUGGUUUGAUUUCUUUUAAGAAUCAAAAGGAAAAAAAGUAAAAAUUAACUUGAUCUCAAAUCAGAUAAGAGUACCCGCUGAACUUAAGCAUAUCAAUAAGCGGAGGAAAAGAAGCUAACAAGGAUUCCUUAGUAACGGCGAGUGAAGCGGGAAGAGCUCAAAUUUGAAAUCUUCAAGGUUUUACCUUGACGAAUUGUAGUUUAAAGAAGUGUUUUCUGUUGGAGUUUUGGUAAAAGUUCUUUGGAAUAGGACAUCAUAGAGGGUGAGAAUCCCGUAUUUGACCAUUAUUUCCAGCUGUGUGAUACACUUUCAAAGAGUCGGAUUGUUUGGGAAUGCAGUCCAAAAUGGGUGGUAAAUUCAUCUAAAGCUAAUAUUGGCGAGAGACCGAUAGCGAACAAGUACCGUGAGGGAAAGAUGAAAAGAACUUUGAAAAGAGAGUUAAACAGUACGUGAAAUUGUCAAAAGGGAAGCGUUUGACACCAGUGUUGUUUUCUCGAAAAUCAAUUAAAAAUGGUGGGAUGUUGUGUUGUAUUGACUUAUCAGCUUUCUGCACUUUUUCCUAUCUUUUUAAUGCACUUUUCGUUUAACAAGUCAACAUCAAUUUCUUUUGUUGUAAAAGAGUCAUUGGAAGGUGGCUUUCUUUUCGGAGAAAGUGUUUAUAGCCUUUGGCUUCUGCAAUCGGAGAGAUUGAGGUCUGCAGCGUAGAUCCUUCGGGUUAGAUGCAUUGUGCUAAGUUAUAGCCUUUCAUAGACAACUUGUUGACUAUGAUCAGUCAUGUAGCUUACUCGCUUAUGCUAUUU
This 1353-nucleotide unclassified non-coding RNA is filed under the name uncultured Neocallimastigales. RNAcentral's name for it is "partial contains small subunit ribosomal RNA, internal transcribed spacer 1, 5.8S ribosomal RNA, internal transcribed spacer 2, and large subunit ribosomal RNA". The stretch from base 604 to 1353 matches the Rfam family "Eukaryotic large subunit ribosomal RNA", at positions 1 to 617 of the family's 3401-position model. Lineage: Eukaryota; Fungi; Neocallimastigomycota; Neocallimastigomycetes; Neocallimastigales. The record is from RNAcentral.